Molecule: ribosomal RNA, 253 nt
Filed under: uncultured bacterium
Lineage: Bacteria
Description: partial 16S ribosomal RNA
Rfam family: Bacterial small subunit ribosomal RNA
Source: RNAcentral
UACGUAGGGUGCAAGCGUUGUCCGGAAUUAUUGGGCGUAAAGAGCUCGUAGGCGGCCUGUCACGUCGGCUGUGAAAACCCGGGGCUCAACCCCGGGCCUGCAGUCGAUACGGGCAGGCUAGAGUCCGGCAGGGGAGACUGGAAUUCCUGGUGUAGCGGUGAAAUGCGCAGAUAUCAGGAGGAACACCGGUGGCGAAGGCGGUUCUCUGGGCAUGUCCUGACGCUGAGGAGCGAAAGUGUGGGGAGCGAACAGG